UCAAAUAGUUUUGACUAUUUGAACAAUUAUAAACUGGAAAUCGUUAUUCAUACAAACUUAUUUGGAAUAAAAUAACACUAAUCUAAUAAUAUUCCAAAAAUUAAUAUCUAAGAGAAUUAAAAAAUAAAUUUCUUUACCGAAACGGUUUAAAUAUUUAACACCAUAUGAAUAAUUAUCUAUUUCAAAUCAUUAUGACCUUUUGUUUUGUCAUAAAAUAAGUUUUUUUGAA
Molecule: long non-coding RNA, 229 nt
Filed under: Durio zibethinus
Lineage: Eukaryota; Viridiplantae; Streptophyta; Magnoliopsida; Malvales; Malvaceae
Description: long non-coding RNA (DZIB_LNC002362)
Source: RNAcentral